Molecule: ribosomal RNA, 301 nt
Filed under: uncultured bacterium
Lineage: Bacteria
Description: partial 16S ribosomal RNA
Rfam family: Bacterial small subunit ribosomal RNA
Source: RNAcentral
CAGCAGCCGCGGGAACACGAAGGGGGCUAGCGUUGCUCGGAAUGACUGGGCGUAAAGGGCGCGUAGGCGGCGUUCAAAGUCAGGCGUGAAAUUCCUGGGCUCAACCUGGGGGCUGCGCUUGAUACUUGGUUGCUUGAGUGGGGAAGAGGGUCGUGGAAUUCCCAGUGUAGAGGUGAAAUUCGUAGAUAUUGGGAAGAACACCGGUGGCGAAGGCAGCGACCUGGUCCUUGACUGACGCUGAGGCGCGAAAGCGUGGGGAGCAAACAGGAUUAGAUACCCCGGUAGUCCCUGUCUCUUAUAC